RNAcentral lists this ribosomal RNA (729 nucleotides) under uncultured bacterium. RNAcentral describes it as "bacterial SSU rRNA". It matches the Rfam family "Bacterial small subunit ribosomal RNA", at positions 43 to 771 of the family's 1533-position model. The record is from RNAcentral.
CAGGCCUAACACAUGCAAGUCGAGCGAGAAGCUCAUGACAGAAUCUUCGGAGGACGGAUUGAGUGGAAAGCGGCGGACGGGUGAGUAACGCGUGGGUAACCUGCCCUGUACAGAGGAAUAGCCAUUGGAAACGAUGAUUAAUGCCUCAUAAGACUACAGUAUCGCAUGAUACAGUAGCCAAAACUCCGGUGGUACAGGAUGGACCCGCGUUAGAUUAGCUAGUUGGUAAGGUAAAGGCUUACCAAGGCGACGAUCUAUAGCCGACCUGAGAGGGUGAUCGGCCACACUGGAACUGAGACACGGUCCAGACUCCUACGGGAGGCAGCAGUGGGGAAUAUUGCACAAUGGGCGAAAGCCUGAUGCAGCAACGCCGCGUGAGCGAAGAAGGUCUUCGGAUCGUGAAGCUCUGUCCUAUGGGAAGAACACAAUGACGGUACCAUAGGAGGAAGCCCCGGCUAACUACGUGCCAGCAGCCGCGGUAAUACGUAGGGGGCAAGCGUUAUCCGGAAUCACUGGGCGUAAAGGGUGCGUAGGCGGUUUCUCAAGCCAGAAGUGAAAGGCAAUGGCUCAACCAUUGUAAGCUUUUGGAACUGAGAGACUUGAGUGCAGGAGAGGAAAGUGGAAUUCCUAGUGUAGAGGUGAAAUUCGUAGAUAUUAGAAGGAACACCAGUGGCGAAGGCGACUUUCUGGACUGUAACUGACGCUGAGGCACGAAAGUGUGGGGAGCGA